AAGUCGGGCCUGCCCACUGAUAGUAUUGAAGGGCCGCGGUAUCUUGACCGUGCAAAGGUAGCAUAAUCAUUAGUCUUUUAAUUGAGGGCUGGAAUGAAUGGUUUGACGAAGUAUUAACUGUCUCUGUGUAAAAUGUAGAAUUUGUCUUUUAAGUCAAAAGACUUAACUAAUAAUAAGGGACGAGAAGACCCUAUAGAGCUUUAUAUAGAAUUUUGAUAUAUAAAUUUGGUGGUAUAAUUAUUUAUUUAAAUUUUAUAUUGUGUUGGGGUGACAUGAAGAUAAAUUUAACUCUUUAUAGUUAUAAACAUAGAUUUAUGGAUAAUUGAUCCAAUAAUAGUGAUUAAAAGAUAAAGUUACCUUAGGGAUAACAGCGUAAUUUUUCUUGAGAGUUCAUAUCGAAAGAGAAGUUUGCGACUCGAUGUUGGAUUAAG
RNAcentral lists this ribosomal RNA (431 nucleotides) under Caulopsis microprora. RNAcentral describes it as "partial 16S ribosomal RNA". It matches the Rfam family "Bacterial large subunit ribosomal RNA", at positions 1850 to 2541 of the family's 2925-position model. Lineage: Eukaryota; Metazoa; Arthropoda; Insecta; Orthoptera; Tettigoniidae. The record is from RNAcentral.